UACAGAGGGUGCGAGCGUUGUUCGGAAUCACUGGGCGUAAAGCGCGCGUAGGCGGCUUCUCAAGUCAGGGGUGAAAUCCUUGGGCUCAACCCAAGAAUUGCCUUUGAAACUGUGGAGCUAGAGUGUCGGAGGGGAUAGCGGAAUUGCUAAUGUAGAGGUGAAAUUCGUAGAUAUUAGCAGGAACACCGGUGGCGAAGGCGGCUAUCUGGACGGCAACUGACGCUGAGGCGCGAAAGCGUGGGGAGCAAACAGG
This 253-nucleotide ribosomal RNA is filed under the name uncultured bacterium. RNAcentral describes it as "partial 16S ribosomal RNA". It matches the Rfam family "Bacterial small subunit ribosomal RNA", at positions 524 to 776 of the family's 1533-position model. The record is from RNAcentral.